This 472-nucleotide ribosomal RNA is filed under the name uncultured bacterium. Its description in RNAcentral is "partial 16S ribosomal RNA". It matches the Rfam family "Bacterial small subunit ribosomal RNA", at positions 28 to 507 of the family's 1533-position model. The record is from RNAcentral.
GACGAACGCUGGCGGCGUGCUUAACACAUGCAAGUCGAACGCUGAAGCUUGGUGCUUGCACUGUGUGGAUUAGUGGCGAACGGGUGAGUAAUACGUGAGUAACCUGCCCUUGACUCUGGGAUAAGCUUGGGAAACUGGGUCUAAUACUGGAUAUGACAUGCCACUGCAUGGUUGUGUGUGGAAAGGGUUUUACUGGUUUUGGAUGGGCUCACGGCCUAUCAGCUUGUUGGUGUGGUAAUGGCCUACCAAGGCGACGACGGGUAGCCGGCCUGAGAGGGUGACCGGCCACAAUGGGACUGAGACACGGCCCAGACUCCUACGGGAGGCAGCAGUGGGGAAUAUUGCACAAUGGGCGGAAGCCUGAUGCAGCGACGCCGCGUGAGGGAUGACGGCCUUCGGGUUGUAAACCUCUUUCAGCACGGAAGAAGCGAGAGUGACGGUACGUGCAGAAGAAGCGCCGGCUAACUACGUG